CAGGCCUAACACAUGCAAGUCGAGCGGUAACAGGGAUAGCUUGCUAUCUGCUGACGAGCGGCGGACGGGUGCGUAACGCGUAGGAAUUUGCCCGAUAGUGGGGGAUAGCCCGGAGAAAUUCGGAUUAAUACCGCAUACCUUCUAAGGAAGAAAGCAGGGGAUCUUCGGACCUUGCGCUAUCGGAUGAGCCUGCGUCGGAUUAGCUAGUUGGUAGGGUAAAUGCCUACCAAGGCGACGAUCCGUAGCUGGUCUGAGAGGAUGAUCAGCCACACUGGGACUGAGACACGGCCCAGACUCCUACGGGAGGCAGCAGUGGGGAAUAUUGCACAAUGGGCGCAAGCCUGAUGCAGCCAUGCCGCGUGUGUGAAGAAGGCCCUAGGGUUGUAAAGCACUUUCAGCGAGGAGGAAGGGUAUCUUGCUAAUAUCAAGGUACAUUGACGUUACUCGCAGAAGAAGCACCGGCUAACUCCGUGCCAGCAGCCGCGGUAAUACGGAGGGUGCAAGCGCUAAUCGGAAUUACUGGGCGUAAAGCGUGCGUAGGCGGUUAAAUAAGUUGGAUGUGAAAGCCCUGGGCUCAACCUAGGAACUGCACCCAAAACUGUUUAACUAGAGUACGAGAGAGGAGUGUGGAAUUUCCUGUGUAGCGGUGGAAUGCGUAGAUAUAGGAAGGAACACCAGUGGCGAAGGCGGCACUCUGGCUCGAUACUGACGCUGAGGUACGAAAGCAUGGGUAGCAAACAGGAUUAGAUA
This 750-nucleotide ribosomal RNA is filed under the name uncultured bacterium. RNAcentral describes it as "bacterial SSU rRNA". It matches the Rfam family "Bacterial small subunit ribosomal RNA", at positions 43 to 784 of the family's 1533-position model. The record is from RNAcentral.